Molecule: transfer RNA, 34 nt
Filed under: Grylloblatta sp. SDS14_380A
Lineage: Eukaryota; Metazoa; Arthropoda; Insecta; Grylloblattodea; Grylloblattidae
Description: partial tRNA-Leu
Source: RNAcentral
AGCUUCAUGUAUAAAGAAAAGCCUUUUAUUAGAA